RNAcentral lists this transfer RNA (72 nucleotides) under Ornithorhynchus anatinus (platypus). It matches the Rfam family "tRNA". From Rfam's summary of the family: Transfer RNA (tRNA) molecules are approximately 80 nucleotides in length. Their secondary structure includes four short double-helical elements and three loops (D, anti-codon, and T loops). Lineage: Eukaryota; Metazoa; Chordata; Mammalia; Monotremata; Ornithorhynchidae. The record is from Rfam by way of RNAcentral.
AGCAGCGUGGCUCAGUGGAAAGAGCCCGGGCUUGGGAGUCAGAGGCCAUGGGUUCGAAUCCCAGCUCUGCCA